CACACAGGCUGACAAAAUGUGGAGCCUGACUGAAAGUCUUGUGGAGCUCCUGCAGGAAAAAGAGAGCGACAUGAUCAGGAUGACCAUUCUUCUACUCAGAUAUUUAUUUCUGGAUAAUGGUGCCCCAAUACCCACCUCCAUCACCCUGCAGCUGGCUGAGGCGCUCCUGCCACUCUUUGACCGCAAUGAUAGCCAGGUGCAGCUGAGCUCCAUGACUCUAUUUCAAGAGAUGCUGGAGUUAUUAAUGGAAGAUGGAAAAAAGGCCCUGAAGUCACACGUGUUCCAGAGCCUGCUGCCACUCUCCUUCCACUGCCAUGAUGAGAAUCAGAUUGUUGCUGAGGCUUCCCGGGAAACACUGCAUUCUUCAGCCAGAUUCCUGAAGAGGAGGGAUAUCGAACAAAUGCUACAGGUGGAUCAGACAUGGAGGUUUGGCGAGGCCCUGGUAAGGACGACUGAGAAUCCCCAGCCUCAGCC
Long non-coding RNA from Passer domesticus (house sparrow), 474 nucleotides. RefSeq lists it as uncharacterized. The record is from RefSeq and is a predicted model, not a curated record. The transcript has 3 exons. NCBI's taxonomy places the organism in Eukaryota, Metazoa, Chordata, Aves, Passeriformes, Passeridae.